RNAcentral lists this ribosomal RNA (254 nucleotides) under uncultured bacterium. RNAcentral's name for it is "partial 16S ribosomal RNA". It matches the Rfam family "Bacterial small subunit ribosomal RNA", at positions 524 to 776 of the family's 1533-position model. The record is from RNAcentral.
UACGAAGGGGGCUAGCGUUGUUCGGAAUCACUGGGCGUAAAGCGCACGUAGGCGGAUCGUUAAGUCGGGGGUGAAAUCCCAGGGCUCAACCCUGGAACUGCCUUCGAUACUGGCGAUCUUUGAGUCCGGGAGAGGUGAGUGGAACUCCGAGUGUAGAGGUGAAAUUCGUAGAUAUUCGGAAGAACACCAGUGGCGAAGGCGGCUCACUGGCCCGUAACUGACGCUGAGGUGCGAAAGCGUGGGGAGCAAACAGG